CAGCCGCCGCGGUAAAACGAAGGGGGCUAGCGUUGUUCGGAUUUACUGGGCGUAAAGCGCACGUAGGCGGACUUUUAAGUCAGGGGUGAAAUCCCGGGGCUCAACCCCGGAACUGCCUUUGAUACUGGAAGUCUUGAGUAUGGUAGAGGUGAGUGGAAUUCCGAGUGUAGAGGUGAAAUUCGUAGAUAUUCGGAGGAACACCAGUGGCGAAGGCGGCUCACUGGACCAUUACUGACGCUGAGGUGCGAAAGCGUGGGGAGCAAACAGGAUUAGAGACCCCUGUAGUCCCUGUCUCUUAUAC
RNAcentral lists this ribosomal RNA (301 nucleotides) under uncultured bacterium. Its description in RNAcentral is "partial 16S ribosomal RNA". It matches the Rfam family "Bacterial small subunit ribosomal RNA", at positions 509 to 807 of the family's 1533-position model. The record is from RNAcentral.